GACGAACGCUGGCGGCGUGCUUAACACAUGCAAGUCGAACGGAAAGGCCCUGCUUUUGUGGGGUGCUCGAGUGGCGAACGGGUGAGUAACACGUGAGUAACCUGCCCUUGACUUUGGGAUAACUUCAGGAAACUGGGGCUAAUACCGGAUAGGAGCUCCUGCUGCAUGGUGGGGGUUGGAAAGUUUCGGCGGUUGGGGAUGGACUCGCGGCUUAUCAGCUUGUUGGUGGGGUAGUGGCUUACCAAGGCUUUGACGGGUAGCCGGCCUGAGAGGGUGACCGGCCACAUUGGGACUGAGAUACGGCCCAGACUCCUACGGGAGGCAGCAGUGGGGAAUAUUGCACAAUGGGCGGAAGCCUGAUGCAGCAACGCCGCGUGCGGGAUGACGGCCUUCGGGUUGUAAACCGCUUUCGCCUGUGACGAAGCGUGAGUGACGGUAAUGGGUAAAGAAGCACCGGCUAACUACGUGCCAGCAGCCGCGGUGAUACGUAGGGUGCGAGCGUUGUCCGGAUUUAUUGGGCGUAAAGGGCUCGUAGGUGGUUGAUCGCGUCGGAAGUGUAAUCUUGGGGCUUAACCCUGAGCGUGCUUUCGAUACGGGUUGACUUGAGGAAGGUAGGGGAGAAUGGAAUUCCUGGUGGAGCGGUGGAAUGCGCAGAUAUCAGGAGGAACACCAGUGGCGAAGGCGGUUCUCUGGGCCUUUCCUGACGCUGAGGAGCGAAGGCGUGGGGAGCGAACAGGCUUAGAUACCCUGGUAGUCCACGCUGUAAACGGUGGGUACUAGGUGUGGGGUCCAUUCCACGGGUUCCGUGCCGUAGCUAACGCUUUAAGUACCCCGCCUGGGGAGUACGGCCGCAAGGCUAAAACUCAAAGGAAUUGACGGGGCCCCGCACAAGCGGCGGAGCAUGCGGAUUAAUUCGAUGCAACGCGUAGAACCUUACCUGGGUUUGACAUGGAUCGGGAGUGCUCAGAGAUGGGUGUGCCUCUUUUGGGGUCGGUUCACAGGUGGUGCAUGCCUGUCGUCAGCUCGUGUCGUGAGAUGUUGGGUUAAGUCCCGCAACGAGCGCAACCCUUGUUCACUGUUGCCAGCACGUUAUGGUGGGGACUCAGUGGAGACCGCCGGGGUCAACUCGGAGGAAGGUGGGGAUGACGUCAAGUCCUCAUGCCCCUUAUGUCCAGGGCUUCACGCAUGCUACAAUGGCUGGUACAGAGAGUGGCGAGCCUGUGAGGGUGAGCGAAUCUCGGAAAGCCGGUCUCAGUUCGGAUUGGGGUCUGCAACUCGACCUCAUGAAGUCGGAGUCGCUAGUAAUCGCAGAUCAGCAACGCUGCGGUGAAUACGUUCCCGGG
RNAcentral lists this ribosomal RNA (1343 nucleotides) under uncultured bacterium. RNAcentral's name for it is "16S ribosomal RNA". It matches the Rfam family "Bacterial small subunit ribosomal RNA", at positions 28 to 1378 of the family's 1533-position model. The record is from RNAcentral.